RNAcentral lists this transfer-messenger RNA (89 nucleotides) under Nitrosomonas sp. RNAcentral describes it as "partial transfer-messenger RNA". It matches the Rfam family "transfer-messenger RNA", at positions 1 to 90 of the family's 374-position model. Rfam says of the family: Bacterial tmRNA, also known as 10Sa RNA or SsrA, is named for its dual tRNA and mRNA-like properties. Its role is to liberate the mRNA from a stalled ribosome. To accomplish this part of the tmRNA is used as a reading frame that ends in a translation stop signal. The record is from RNAcentral. Lineage: Bacteria; Pseudomonadati; Pseudomonadota; Betaproteobacteria; Nitrosomonadales; Nitrosomonadaceae.
GGGGACGAUCUGGUUUCGACGUGGGUUGCAAAGCAGCGCAGGGCAUACCGAGGAUCAGAUUACCUCGUAAAUCCAUCUGAAAACAAUAG